UGUCUGUACAUGUAUCAAAACCCUGCCCCGCUGCUCUGAGAGGACAGAGGAAGACCAAGGCAGGACCACUGACCUAUCUUCAGAUCAAAGAACAAGUGGUGUGAUUCCCAUGUCUGUGGAAACCCCGGGAUGAUGGAGUGUGUGUUAGAUCUGGAAACUAAGGACUUUUCUCAAGAGUGGGAUGGUGGAGAAAGAAUUUUGGAGUCUGGAGAAGAGGAUAAAGGAAAGAACAGAACAUAUACAUAAGCAUUGGAAAGAUGCUACUACAUGUACACAUGUGAAAUUACUUGUAAGACAAAUGUAUUCUCUGAAUGUUACAUACUCAAUCAACAGAGCUAACACCUCAAAACAGAGAGGAAGAAAAGAGAAUGGAUUGGAACUCCUCUCACCCCAGGAAGCAACCAGCCUAUUUGGAGAAACACAGGCUGAGAUGUUAGCAACUGAAGUAAAAAAGCAACGUAAUGUUUGUAUUGCUUGAUCAACUUUGCAGGCCUAAAGCUGGUGUCUGAGCGUUUAUUUAGAGAAUAACAAUAUGCAAUAUAACAACUAUGGGCACUACCUUCUGCCUUGUUUUUGAAAUCCAAUAUUGUUCUGUUUCAUUAUGUUGUUUUAUUGUUUU
Molecule: long non-coding RNA, 619 nt
Organism: Cavia porcellus (domestic guinea pig)
Lineage: Eukaryota; Metazoa; Chordata; Mammalia; Rodentia; Caviidae
Source: Ensembl